AGGGCACCACCAGGAGUGGAGCCUGCGGCUUAAUUUGACUCAACACGGGAAACCUCACCCGGCCCGGACACRGACAGGAUUGACAGAUUGAUAGCUCUUUCUCGAUUCCGUGGGUGGUGGUGCAUGGCCGUUCUUAGUUGGUGGGGCGAUUUGUCUGGUUAAUUCCGAUAACGAACGAGACUCUGGCAUGCUAACUAGUUACGCGACCCCCGAGCGGKCGGCGUCCCCCAACUUCUUAGAGGGACAAGUGGCGUUCAGCCACCCGAGAUUGAGCAAUAACAGGUCUGUGAUGCCCUUAGAUGUCCGGGGCUGCACGCGCGCUAGACUGACUGGCUCAGCGUGUGCCUACCCUACGCCGGCAGGCGCGGGUAACCCGUUGAACCCCAUUCGUGAUGGGGAUCGGGGAUUGCAAUUAUUCCCCAUGAACGAGGAAUUCCCAGUAAGUGCGGGUCAUAAGCUUGCGUUGAUUAAGUCACUGCCCUUUGUACACACCGCCCGUCGCUACUACCGAUUGGAUGG
RNAcentral lists this ribosomal RNA (519 nucleotides) under uncultured eukaryote. RNAcentral describes it as "SSU rRNA". It matches the Rfam family "Eukaryotic small subunit ribosomal RNA", at positions 1172 to 1716 of the family's 1831-position model. The record is from RNAcentral.